Molecule: ribosomal RNA, 490 nt
Filed under: uncultured bacterium
Lineage: Bacteria
Description: partial 16S ribosomal RNA
Rfam family: Bacterial small subunit ribosomal RNA
Source: RNAcentral
AUUGAACGCUGGCGGCAGGCCUAACACAUGCAAGUCGAACGGUAACAGGAAACAGCUUGCUGUUUCGCUGACGAGUGGCGGACGGGUGAGUAAUGUCUGGGAAACUGCCUGAUGGAGGGGGAUAACUACUGGAAACGGUAGCUAAUACCGCAUAACGUCGAAAGACCAAAGAGGGGGACCCUCGGGCCUCUUGCCAUCGGAUGUGCCCAGAUGGGAUUAGUUGGUUGGUGGGGUAACGGCUCACCAAGGCGACGAUCCCUAGCUGGUCUGAGAGGAUGACCAGCCACACGGGAACUGAGACACGGUCCAGACUCCUACGGGAGGCAGCAGUGGGGAAUAUUGCACAAUGGGCGCAAGCCUGAUGCAGCCAUGCCGCGUGUAUGAAGAAGGCCUUCGGGUUGUAAAGUACUUUCAGCGGGGAGGAAGGGAGUAAAGUUAAUACCUUUGCUCAUUGACGUUACCCGCAGAAGAAGCACCGGCUAACUCCGUG